UAAGGGACCGAAAUUAGAGUAGGGAAGCACACUUGGCUGAAGGCGAGAAAAGCUUUGCGUAUAGAAACAGAUGCCCGUACCGCAAACCGACACAGGUGGACAGGAAGAGAAUUCUAAGGCCAGCGGGAGAAGGGUAGUUAAGGAACUCGGCAAAUUGACUCCGUAACUUCGGAAUAAGGAGUGCUCGAAAGAGCCGCAGAGAAUAGGCCCAGGCGACUGUUUAGCAAAAACACAGGUCUCUGCCAAAUCGAAAGAUGAAGUAUAGGGGCUGACACCUGCCCUGUGCCGGAAGGUUAAGAGGAGGAGUGAGAGCUCCGAAUUGAAGCCCCGGUAAACGGCGGCCGUAACGAUAACGGUCCUAAGGUAGCGAAAUUCCUUGUCGGGUAAGUUCCGACCCGCACGAAUGGUGUAACGAUCUGGGCACUGUCUCAACUACCCACCCGGCGAAAUUGUAGUACCGGUGAAGAUGCCGGUUACCUGCGGCAAGACGGAAAGACCCCAUGGAGCUUUACUGUAGCCUGAUAUUGGGUUUCGGAAAUCUAUGUACAGGAUAGGCGGGAGACUGGGAAACAUGAGCGUCAGCUUGUGUGGAGUCGAUGUUGGGAUACCGCCCUUAGGUUUCUGGAAUUCUAACCUGCGGCCGUGAAUCCGGUCGGGGGACAUUGUCAGGUGGGCAGUUUGACUGGGGCGGUCGCCUCCGAAAAGGUAACGGAGGCGCUCAAAGGUUAGCUCAGCACGGACGGAAACCGUGCCUCUGAGUGUAAACGCAAAAGCUAGCCUAACUGCGAGGGUGACGGCCCGAGCAGUAACGAAAGUUGGAGUUAGUGAUCCGGCGGUAUGUGAAUGGAAAUGCCGUCGCUCAACGGAUAAAAGCUACCCUGGGGAUAACAGGCUGAUCUCCCCCAAGAGUCCACAUCGACGGGGAGGUUUGGCACCUCGAUGUCGGCUCAUCACAUCCUGGGGCUGUAUUCGGUCCCAAGGGUUCGGCUUCGCCGAUUAAAGUGGUACGCGAGCUGGGUUCAGAACGUCGCGAGACAGUUCGGUCCCUAUCUGUCGUGGGCGCAGGAUAUUUGAGGAGCUCUGUCCUUAGUACGAGAGGACCGGGAUGGACGUACCUCUGGUGCACCAGUUGUCAUGCCAAUGGCACGGCUGGGCAGCUAUGUACGGAACGGAUAAACGCUGAAAGCAUCUAAGCGUGAAGCCGACUCCAAGAUUAGAUAUCCCAUCGUAUAACGAGUAAGACCCCUUGAAGACUACGAGGUUGAUAGGCUGCGUGUGUAAGUGCCGUGAGGCAUUCAGCUUGGCAGUACUAAUAGGUCGAGGGCUUGAUC
This 1331-nucleotide ribosomal RNA is filed under the name metagenome. RNAcentral describes it as "bacterial LSU rRNA". It matches the Rfam family "Bacterial large subunit ribosomal RNA", at positions 1565 to 2925 of the family's 2925-position model. The record is from RNAcentral.